This 299-nucleotide long non-coding RNA is filed under the name Homo sapiens (human). Its description in RNAcentral is "HSALNT0043172". Lineage: Eukaryota; Metazoa; Chordata; Mammalia; Primates; Hominidae. The record is from RNAcentral.
AGUUUCUUUGUAAAUUACUGUCUAAAUGAUUGUAUUUGAUAUAAUGACUAUUCUUGAUAUAGCACACACUGAUAAUGUAAUAAACCAAUAAAUCUGAGCACACGUGAGUCAUAAGGGGUAAUUACAUCUCUUUUUAUCUGUGUGUCUAUGGUGAAACAUGAAUGCAGAAGAGAAAGAGAAGAGGCAAUGUUUCUGUCUUAGAGUAAUAGUUUAUCAUUGCCCUUAGGAUAUCCCUAGCAAGUUACAAUGAAAGUGAAGACAGGUAACACAGUAAAAAGUGAAAUACAUUUCAGAGAAGG